GCCUGGUAGGGCUCACAGUCCAGCGCCACGCUGCUAACCUGAGGGUCCUGGGUUCAAGUCCCUGUUCAGGCG
Non-coding RNA from Merluccius polli (Benguela hake), 72 nucleotides. Lineage: Eukaryota; Metazoa; Chordata; Actinopteri; Gadiformes; Merlucciidae. The record is from the annotation of a GenBank genome assembly.